AUCCUUUUCCGGUUAAUAAGCACAAUGGCUGGUUAUUCACACAUUUGUGGGACCAUGUGCCUCCCUUAUGCACGUGGCAUAUUACUCAUCUCACA
RNAcentral lists this small nucleolar RNA (95 nucleotides) under Sorex araneus (European shrew). RNAcentral's name for it is "Small nucleolar RNA U13 (ENSSARG00000019300.1)". It matches the Rfam family "Small nucleolar RNA U13". The record is from RNAcentral. Lineage: Eukaryota; Metazoa; Chordata; Mammalia; Eulipotyphla; Soricidae.